AAGAACAGGAUGAGGUAGAUAAACAGGUUAAGGAGUGGCUGGAACAAGGAGUUAUUCGGGUAAGCUUUUCUGAAUAUACUAGCCCAAUUGUUCUU
RNAcentral lists this microRNA precursor (95 nucleotides) under Bombyx mori (domestic silkworm). Its description in RNAcentral is "microRNA bmo-mir-2998 precursor". Lineage: Eukaryota; Metazoa; Arthropoda; Insecta; Lepidoptera; Bombycidae. The record is from miRBase by way of RNAcentral.